Paramormyrops kingsleyae is the source of this 2569-nucleotide long non-coding RNA. RefSeq lists it as uncharacterized. NCBI's taxonomy places the organism in Eukaryota, Metazoa, Chordata, Actinopteri, Osteoglossiformes, Mormyridae. The record is from RefSeq and is a predicted model, not a curated record.
AGGAGGUCUGAACUCUGAAGCCUAUCCUGGAGGCUACAGUCACAAGGCAGGGAACAACCCAGGACAGUGGAGAAUGUCAAAAUAUUCAGGAAAAUGGGAAGUAUUCACCAAGUAGAUCACUUGGACCAUUAUGGAAAUACACAGCCAUACACCUUCCCUGGGUUUUUACUAACUACUCCUCAUCAUUAAAGGCCAGUCUUAUAAUGAGACCUGAUUACACCAUUAUUUGCCCUUAAUGACACAAACCAGGAUGCAGACUCUAUCUUCCAAACAGCAUGGUGUGCUGCUAUACCUGUUAAUCCACAAAGACAAAGUCCACAACACAAAAGGUGCUUUGAUAGAUAGCAAUUACAGCAAAGAAAUAAUACAGAAAUUCAGGUACUACAUAAUAUGGUGCUUAAAGACCUAGGAGAGGGCUACUCGUGUUAAGGGUCCUGUUAUGUUUACAUUUUCACACAAAUAUUAGGAAUGGCAACAUCUGCAAGCAACAGGAUAAACUUUAGCUCCUUUUUUGUUUUUAGUAUUUUUUUCCCAAUGUUAAUUGUAUGGAAUCAGAUUUGUGGCAAUAUUAUCAAGCAAAAACCAGGCUUCGAGAAGAAAAAAAAACUAACUGAAGCAAAAGAAAUGUCAUCUCAAAAGUAAAAUUUAUAACUUGCAAACACGAUUGGUGUUUUGAUAAUGUUGCUGCCAGCUUUCUCACUUGCGCUGCCUGACUUUCUCGUGUGGGCAGGUUUUUUCAGGGACGCGUCCCCAUGUAAAAGCACUGUACUCUCCUUAACAGGAAAUAAAAGUGGAAAAUGAGGUUAACAUUAGCAAGUUAGCUAACGUUAAAUAGGUAAAAGCUAACUUACAUAGCAAAGCUUAACUUCACUUCUAAUUUAGCACAAUAAAAUGUAUAGUGCAGCACAAACAACAUCAACAUUUAAAUGUAGCCCCAAUAAACAUUUUUUCUUCUUGAAGCCUUGUUUUUGCUUGAUGUCAAAAAAGUUUUGCUUGAUAAUAUUGGCACAAAUCUGAUUCCAUAUAAUUGGAAAUGUCAGUCUUGCUUACUUAUGGUGCUUUUUCACUGGCAUAUAGGAGCCAGGCUAUACUCGACCUGUACUGCAAAGAGAGAUUAGUUACAGUGCAAUUCCAGCCCAUGUUUGGUUUUCCACUGCAGAAGGGUCGGCUCAGUGAAGGUGUUGGAGAGCAACAGUGACAUAAAACCAAAGAGACGCUUAUUUACCAUUCAUACAGUAUACAUCAUGAUUUAUUAUGUGCUAAUUUCCACUAGCAUGUCUAUGAGAAUCAUUGUGUUAUAUAAGCUUCAAACACUAACGGAAUUAGCAUUAGUUGAAGUUCCGAGUUAUUGAGUAUGCAUCAAUAUAUUGUGGUAUGUGAUGCUACUGAUAAUGGAUAAUACAGAGAAUGUGCACUUUCUUCUUUCAGAUAAUCCACACAUAUCAACGCAGAUCACGGUACCUCUGUGAAUUUCAACCAAUCAGAUGGUGGUGAAGCAACCAACUUUGUUUAGUGCAGGAGGUCCUCUGAUGAUGGUGCUGUUGUGAGACAGCAUGCCCCGAGAAAGUAUUGGGCAGUAAUCCAUCACACGCACGCCGGGUGGGGAGGAAAGAUGAUCGCCUGCUCCUUGGUGCUCAUUAGAGCUUGUUAGUGCUCUUCAGCACUCAUGCAACAAGAGCCAAAAUCCAGCUUCUCCAUGGAGGACGACCUACAAUUCACCCCCCAUCCCCCAUUCCCAGGGUUCAGCGCAUGCUCCCGCCAAUCACGGUGACCCUAUCAGCAUGCUCUUUCUCCAUCAUUGUCCAUCUUACCAUCUUUCCUCUUCCACUCUUCUUCUGUUUGGCCAUGAAGACCCUGGAUCCGAAGUACAGUUCCAUGUCGAAAGCUGAUCCAUCCAAAAAGGCUUUGCUCCUGUGAGGCCUCAUCGUCAGCCCCCCUACCUAGAGACACUCAGGCACGCUCUGUCCAAGCCUGCUGCAUGAAUACAAACAUUGCAUGUUUCCGAUACCCUGUCCUGUUUCGCUGAUUUCUGCUUUCACGCUGUGUUAAGUGAAAAAAACAAGGGGUAUGCAAAGCUAAUAAAGCGACUCUUUUGUUUGGCUGAAAAUGCCCUUUUUUCUCAUUACCUUCUGCUGCAGAGCAGAUGUGUGCUUAUCUUUCAGCCAUUAGUGCAGACCAGCUGUUGCUGGCACAGUGUUACAUGGGGGCCACCGGUGAUGACAUCAUCACAGCAGGACACAUUGCCAGGCAGGCAUCCAAAAGAAGAAUGGAUUAUGUUAGUUGGGGUUUUCCCUCAUUUUCCCUCGAACUUCUUUAGAACUUGUGUCCACAGUACAAAACAACUUACAGAUCCAUCAAUGGAAACUGUCCCCUAAUUGCCAGUGUUAAUUGAAUGCACUAAACUGGUUUCUGCUGUCACACUGAAUGAAUGUUCAUUAUGUUACAACUAUAACUCAGGUAAUAGGGAACGUUCCCAGAACUUUGGCCAACAUUAUGUGACGUUUGCAGAAAACGUUCUCACUAUGUUAUCUCCACAUUUUACAUUUUAAUAAAGGUUCUGUCGAUGUCA